This 849-nucleotide ribosomal RNA is filed under the name Pseudomonas aeruginosa. RNAcentral's name for it is "bacterial SSU rRNA". It matches the Rfam family "Bacterial small subunit ribosomal RNA", at positions 60 to 904 of the family's 1533-position model. Lineage: Bacteria; Pseudomonadati; Pseudomonadota; Gammaproteobacteria; Pseudomonadales; Pseudomonadaceae. The record is from RNAcentral.
AGUCGAGCGGAUGAAGGGAGCUUGCUCCUGGAUUCAGCGGCGGACGGGUGAGUACUCCUAGGAAUCUGCCUGGUAGUGGGGGAUAACGUCCGGAAACGGGCGCUAAUACCGCAUACGUCCUGAGGGAGAAAGUGGGGGAUCUUCGGACCUCACGCUAUCAGAUGAGCCUAGGUCGGAUUAGCUAGUUGGUGGGGUAAAGGCCUACCAAGGCGACGAUCCGUAACUGGUCUGAGAGGAUGAUCAUUCACACUGGAACUGAGACACGGUCCAGACUCCUACGGGAGGCAGCAGUGGGGAAUAUUGGACAAUGGGCGAAAGCCUGAUCCAGCCAUGCCGCGUGUGUGAAGAAGGUCUUCGGAUUGUAAAGCACUUUAAGUUGGGAGGAAGGGCAGUAAGUUAAUACCUUGCUGUUUUGACGUUACCAACAGAAUAAGCACCGGCUAACUUCGUGCCAGCAGCCGCGGUAAUACGAAGGGUGCAAGCGUUAAUCGGAAUUACUGGGCGUAAAGCGCGCGUAGGUGGUUCAGCAAGUUGGAUGUGAAAUCCCCGGGCUCAACCUGGGAACUGCAUCCAAAACUACUGAGCUAGAGUACGGUAGAGGGUGGUGGAAUUUCCUGUGUANCNGUGAAAUGCGUAGAUAUAGGAAGGAACACCAGUGGCGAAGGCGACCACCUGGACUGAUACUGACACUGACGUGCGAAAGCGUGGGGAGCAAACAGGAUUAGAUACCCUGGUAGUCCACGCCGUAAACGAUGUCGACUAGCCGUUGGGAUCCUUGAGAUCUUAGUGGCGCAGCUAACGCGAUAAGUCGACCGCCUGGGGAGUACGGCCGCAACGGUUAAAACUCAA